GCCGGCUUAGCUCAACGGGAAGAGCGCCGCCCUCGUAACGCGGAGGCCGCGUGUUCGAGUCACGCAGCCGGCACCA
Molecule: transfer RNA, 76 nt
Filed under: Xanthobacteraceae bacterium
Lineage: Bacteria; Pseudomonadati; Pseudomonadota; Alphaproteobacteria; Hyphomicrobiales; Xanthobacteraceae
Also listed under: 2 other names
Description: tRNA-Thr
Rfam family: tRNA
About the family: Transfer RNA (tRNA) molecules are approximately 80 nucleotides in length. Their secondary structure includes four short double-helical elements and three loops (D, anti-codon, and T loops).
Source: RNAcentral